Molecule: ribosomal RNA, 990 nt
Filed under: Salmonella enterica subsp. enterica serovar Enteritidis
Lineage: Bacteria; Pseudomonadati; Pseudomonadota; Gammaproteobacteria; Enterobacterales; Enterobacteriaceae
Description: partial 23S ribosomal RNA
Rfam family: Bacterial large subunit ribosomal RNA
Source: RNAcentral
AAUCCAUAGGUUAAUGAGGCGAACCGGGGGAACUGAAACAUCUAAGUACCCCGAGGAAAAGAAAUCAACCGAGAUUCCCCCAGUAGCGGCGAGCGAACGGGGAGGAGCCCAGAGCCUGAAUCAGCAUGUGUGUUAGUGGAAGCGUCUGGAAAGGCGCGCGAUACAGGGUGACAGCCCCGUACACAAAAGCGCAUGUGCUGUGAGCUCGAUGAGUAGGGCGGGACACGUGGUAUCCUGUCUGAAUAUGGGGGGACCAUCCUCCAAGGCUAAAUACUCCUGACUGACCGAUAGUGAACCAGUACCGUGAGGGAAAGGCGAAAAGAACCCCGGCGAGGGGAGUGAAAAAGAACCUGAAACCGUGUACGUACAAGCAGUGGGAGCACCCUUUGGGUGUGACUGCGUACCUUUUGUAUAAUGGGUCAGCGACUUAUAUUCUGUAGCAAGGUUAACCGAAUAGGGGAGCCGGAGGGAAACCGAGUCUUAACCGGGCGUUAAGUUGCAGGGUAUAGACCCGAAACCCGGUGAUCUAGCCAUGGGCAGGUUGAAGGUUGGGUAACACUAACUGGAGGACCGAACCGACUAAUGUUGAAAAAUUAGCGGAUGACCUGUGGCUGGGGGUGAAAGGCCAAUCAAACCGGGAGAUAGCUGGUUCUCCCCGAAAGCUAUUUAGGUAGCGCCUCGUGAAUUCAUCUCCGGGGGUAGAGCACUGUUUCGGCUAGGGGGCCAUCCCGGCUUACCAACCCGAUGCAAACUGCGAAUACCGGAGAAUGUUAUCACGGGAGACACACGGCGGGUGCUAACGUCCGUCGUGAAGAGGGAAACAACCCAGACCGCCAGCUAAGGUCCCAAAGUCAUGGUUAAGUGGGAAACGAUGUGGGAAGGCCCAGACAGCCAGGAUGUUGGCUUAGAAGCAGCCAUCAUUUAAAGAAAGCGUAAUAGCUCACUGGUCGAGUCGGCCUGCGCGGAAGAUGUAACGGGGCUAAACCAUGC